RNAcentral lists this ribosomal RNA (333 nucleotides) under uncultured bacterium. RNAcentral's name for it is "bacterial SSU rRNA". It matches the Rfam family "Bacterial small subunit ribosomal RNA", at positions 1047 to 1378 of the family's 1533-position model. The record is from RNAcentral.
GGCUGUUGUCAGCUCGUGUCGUGAGAUGUUGGGUUAAGUCCCGCAACGAGCGCAACCCUUGUCCUCAGUUACCAGCACGUUAUGGUGGGCACUCUGGGGAGACUGCCGGUGACAAACCGGAGGAAGGGGGGGACGACGUCAAGUCAUCAUGGCCCUUACGGCCGGGGCUACACACGUGCUACAAUGGUGCAUACAAACGGUUGCCAAGCCGCGAAGUGGAGCUAAUCUGAGAAAGUGCAUCGUAGUCCGGAUUGGAGUCUGCAACUCGACUCCAUGAAGUCGGAAUCGCUAGUAAUCGUGAAUCAAAAUGUCGCGGUGAAUACGUUCCCGGGA